UGCAGCAUGGGGGGCUGCCCGAGCCCCUCACACUGAGAUGGGAGUCCCCUCCUCGGCCCCCCAUUCCCGUCGUGGGCGUUGUGGCUGGGCUGGUUGUGGUCACUGGCGCUGUGCUGGUUGGAGCUGUCAUGUGGAGGAAGUAGAGCUCAGGUGGAAGAGGAAGGAGUUAUGCUCAGGCUGCAAGUAAG
Ailuropoda melanoleuca (giant panda) is the source of this 188-nucleotide long non-coding RNA. RefSeq lists it as uncharacterized. The transcript has 3 exons. NCBI's taxonomy places the organism in Eukaryota, Metazoa, Chordata, Mammalia, Carnivora, Ursidae. The record is from RefSeq and is a predicted model, not a curated record.